Molecule: ribosomal RNA, 501 nt
Filed under: Lactiplantibacillus plantarum
Lineage: Bacteria; Bacillati; Bacillota; Bacilli; Lactobacillales; Lactobacillaceae
Description: bacterial SSU rRNA
Rfam family: Bacterial small subunit ribosomal RNA
Source: RNAcentral
CAUUUGAGUGAGUGGCGAACUGGUGAGUAACACGUGGGAAACCUGCCCAGAAGCGGGGGAUAACACCUGGAAACAGAUGCUAAUACCGCAUAACAACUUGGACCGCAUGGUCCGAGUUUGAAAGAUGGCUUCGGCUAUCACUUUUGGAUGGUCCCGCGGCGUAUUAGCUAGAUGGUGGGGUAACGGCUCACCAUGGCAAUGAUACGUAGCCGACCUGAGAGGGUAAUCGGCCACAUUGGGACUGAGACACGGCCCAAACUCCUACGGGAGGCAGCAGUAGGGAAUCUUCCACAAUGGACGAAAGUCUGAUGGAGCAACGCCGCGUGAGUGAAGAAGGGUUUCGGCUCGUAAAACUCUGUUGUUAAAGAAGAACAUAUCUGAGAGUAACUGUUCAGGUAUUGACGGUAUUUAACCAGAAAGCCACGGCUAACUACGUGCCAGCAGCCGCGGUAAUACGUAGGUGGCAAGCGUUGUCCGGAUUUAUUGGGCGUAAAGCGAGCG